GGGUGGUAGCUCAGCUGGUUAGAGCGCCUGCCUGUCACGCAGGAGGUCGCGGGUUCGAGUCCCGUCCAUC
RNAcentral lists this transfer RNA (70 nucleotides) under human gut metagenome. It matches the Rfam family "tRNA". Rfam says of the family: Transfer RNA (tRNA) molecules are approximately 80 nucleotides in length. The record is from RNAcentral. RNAcentral also lists the same sequence under 1 other name.